Molecule: ribosomal RNA, 253 nt
Filed under: uncultured bacterium
Lineage: Bacteria
Description: partial 16S ribosomal RNA
Rfam family: Bacterial small subunit ribosomal RNA
Source: RNAcentral
UACGUAGGGGGCAAGCGUUGUCCGGAAUCAUUGGGCGUAAAGAGCGUGUAGGCGGCCAGAAAAGUCCGCUGUGAAAACUCGAGGCUCAACUUCGAGCUGUCGGUGGAAACUUUCUGGCUAGAGUCCGGAAGAGGAGAAUGGAAUUCCUGGUGUAGCGGUGAAAUGCGCAGAUAUCAGGAGGAACACCAAUGGCGAAGGCAGCUCGCUGGGACGGUACUGACGCUGAGACGCGAAAGCGUGGGGAGCAAACAGG